CUCCCCCUCCUCUCCCUUGCUGCCCACACUGAGGGCUCAGCCCAGAACAGGGGGGUUCUGAGUCCCAGCACACACAAUUGGGGCAGGGUCAGCUCUCACCCAGCAGCACCCCCAGGUCUUACCUGGCAGAAAUUCCCUCUAUUUUCCUAGGGAAUAAUGGAGUGAUAGACACUGGUGUUGCAGUGAAGAUGGCUGAAGAGAAGGAAAGCUGCAAACCCUCAAGAAGUUUCCCCUUCAGUGCCUGUUUUUAAGGGUUAGGCAUCUCCACCAUGAGCUGAAGCAGAUAUGAAAGGCCCUUGGUCAGGGGCUAUGAUUGCUUGCAAAGAUACCCACAGGUAACGGGAUUUGAACUGCCUGUUCCUUGACUUCUCUCUCUGCCCCUAUAGUAGCUGCAUUAAUUUUUAUCUUUAAACAUUCUUGCUAUGCAAAAAAAUCCCCACUGAUGUUACCACCUCUGAGUCAUGCCAGCAUAUUUGUGUGCUGGUAUAUUUUAGGAGCAAAGCUGGUGGAGUUCAAUAAGUAUAAAGCAGGACUUGAUAAGCAAGGUUAAAUUCCUUUCCUCAGGCUUGGAGGAUAUAUCAGUGUUGUCAGCCUGAUAGAUCAUAGAAUAUACAAUUGUGAAACCUCCUGAGCUGGAAGGAACCUACAAGGAUCACCGAGGCCAGCCCUUAGUGCUGCACAGCUCCAAGAAGGUACGCUGUCCUUUGCUUCAGAUCUGUUCUUACCCCUACAGGCACUUGGAGACCUUAUCUGCUAAAUGACAGACUCAUAUAUCACAUCUGUCUUCUCCUCUCAGGCUGUUGCACAACUAAUGACCACUGAUAUGGGAUUAAAGCAGUGUUGGAUCACCCAGCAGGACCACUGGAAACAAGCCAUGCCUGUACCUCACCAGUCUUGCCAGCCAUUCGAGACUGAGCUGAUGGAUGCAGGGCAUCACCCUGAAAGAAGGUGUACACAGGAGCUUGUGGUGGAAAUGAAUCCAUGCAGGUGCCAGAAACCAGACACUGAGACCAAAGUAGGCUUCUGAACAGGGUGAGGUACAAAGCUUGUUCCCCCAAAAAAUGAGACACCCUUUCUCUUUCUCACCCUACUGAGAAUCCACUGCCAGAAAUGUAAUGAAUAUGCUCUUCCACCUGAGGAGAUCCCAUGGAUUUAUUUUUCCCUAGCAAGAAGAGUCUUUGUGCUCCUCAUUCCUAGUCAUAUGGUUAAAUUAAUGUGUAUAUCUUUUUCUGCUUCACACUAAACUCUGCUUUCUAAACUUUGCUUUGCAAAGGAGUUGUUUUUACAUCAUCUUUUCAC
This 1299-nucleotide long non-coding RNA is filed under the name Cyanistes caeruleus (blue tit). RNAcentral's name for it is "lncRNA (ENSCCEG00000005903.1)". The record is from RNAcentral. Lineage: Eukaryota; Metazoa; Chordata; Aves; Passeriformes; Paridae.